AACGAACGCUGGCGGCAUGCCUAACACAUGCAAGUCGAACGUGAUCCGGGGCUUGCUCCGGUGAAAGUGGCGGACGGGUGAGUAACGCGUGGGAACCUGCCCAGUGGUCGGGGAUAACUGCGGGAAACUGCAGCUAAUACCCGGUAAGCCCUCGAGCGUUGGCUUGGGGGGAAAGAUUGAUCGCCAUUGGAGGGGCCCGCGUCGGAUUAGGUAGUUGGUGGGGUAACGGCCUACCAAGCCUACGAUCCGUAGCUGGUCUGAGAGGAUGAUCAGCCACACUGGGACUGAGAUACGGCCCAGACUCCUACGGGAGGCAGCAGUGGGGAAUAUUGGACAAUGGGCGCAAGCCUGAUCCAGCAAUGCCGCGUGAGCG
This 373-nucleotide ribosomal RNA is filed under the name uncultured bacterium. RNAcentral's name for it is "bacterial SSU rRNA". It matches the Rfam family "Bacterial small subunit ribosomal RNA", at positions 28 to 407 of the family's 1533-position model. The record is from RNAcentral.